This 508-nucleotide ribosomal RNA is filed under the name uncultured bacterium. RNAcentral describes it as "bacterial SSU rRNA". It matches the Rfam family "Bacterial small subunit ribosomal RNA", at positions 20 to 518 of the family's 1533-position model. The record is from RNAcentral.
UGGCUCAGAACGAACGCUGGCGGCGCGUUUAAGCAUGCAAGUCGAGCGGCAAGGGCCUUCGGGCCCCUAGAGCGGCGGACGGGUGAGUAACACGUGGACAAUCUGCCCCCCGGCCCGGGAUAGCCCAGGGAAACCUGGAUUAAUACCGGAUGAGACGGGACCCGCGAUGGCGGGACCCGGGAAAGGCGCUGCGGCGCCGCCGGGGGAUGAGUCUGCGUCCCAUUAGCUAGACGGCGGGGUAACGGCCCGCCGUGGCGACGAUGGGUAGCCGGCCUGAGAGGGUGGACGGCCACAUUGGAACUGAGACACGGUCCAGACUCCUACGGGAGGCAGCAGCUAAGAAUCUUCCGCAAUGGGCGAAAGCCCGACGGAAGCGACGCCGCGUGAACGAAGAAGGCCGUGAGGUUGUAAAGUUCUUUUCGGGAGGGGGAACAACCGUGGCAGGGAAUGGCCGCGGGAUGACGUGAAUCCCGGAAUAAGCCCCGGCUAACUACGUGCCAGCCGCCGC